UACAGAGGUGGCAAGCGUUGUUCGGAAUUACUGGGCGUAAAGGGCGCGUAGGCGGCCUUGUAAGUCUCGUGUGAAAGCCCUCGGCUUAACUGAGGAUCUGCACGGGAUACUGCGAGGCUUGAGUUCGGGAGAGGAAAGCGGAAUUCCGGGUGUAGCGGUGAAAUGCGUAGAUAUCCGGAGGAACACCGGUGGCGAAGGCGGCUUCCUGGACCGACACUGACGCUGAGGCGCGAAAGCUAGGGGAGCAAACGGG
This 253-nucleotide ribosomal RNA is filed under the name uncultured bacterium. RNAcentral's name for it is "partial 16S ribosomal RNA". It matches the Rfam family "Bacterial small subunit ribosomal RNA", at positions 524 to 776 of the family's 1533-position model. The record is from RNAcentral.